This 24-nucleotide microRNA is filed under the name Ananas comosus (pineapple). Its description in RNAcentral is "microRNA s0543_c69a". Lineage: Eukaryota; Viridiplantae; Streptophyta; Magnoliopsida; Poales; Bromeliaceae. The record is from RNAcentral.
AAACACAGGGAAUCCACUGUUCAC